CUCACCCGUCGUACAGGCACUGUAACAGAGUACACGGUCCCAAGAUCAAGAUCAGUAGUGACACUCAGCUGGACUUUAUCCUGUGAGUCUAUCUCCACAAAUUCUGAUAGAGCAUGCACAACGUUUUUUACAAUCUUCCGUUUUGCUUCAUCACUCACUGCACAUCUGUCAGAGAAAAGAAUCAUCUUCAACCGUUGUUUGGCAAUCCUUGCAUUUGAGCUCUUUCUUCGUGCUGGUGAUGGGAAUAUUAUCUUCCAUGCCAGGUUCAAACGUUCAAAGAAGCUCAGGUUUAUGGCAUUUAGGAGAAAGCUUUCGGCCUCAUCACUAAUUGAAGUCGAAGAUAGCUGAUAAUCUC
This 355-nucleotide unclassified non-coding RNA is filed under the name Hevea brasiliensis (rubber tree). Lineage: Eukaryota; Viridiplantae; Streptophyta; Magnoliopsida; Malpighiales; Euphorbiaceae. The record is from RNAcentral.